UAAGCGACUAAGCGUACACGGUGGAUGCCCUGGCAGUCAGAGGCGAUGAAGGACGUGCUAAUCUGCGAAAAGCGUCGGUAAGGUGAUAUGAACCGUUACAGCCGGCGAUGUCCGAAUGGGGAAACCCAGUGCAAUUCGUUGCACUAUCGUUAACUGAAUACAUAGGUUAACGAGGCGAACCGGGGGAACUGAAACAUCUAAGUACCCCGAGGAAAAGAAAUCAACCGAGAUUCCCCCAGUAGCGGCGAGCGAACGGGGAGCAGCCCAGAGUCUGAAUCAGCUUGUGUGUUAGUGGAACGGUCUGGAAAGUCCGACGGUACAGGGUGAUAGUCCCGUACACCAAAAUGCACAGGCUGUGAACUCGAAGAGUAGGGCGGGACACGUGGUAUCCUGUCUGAAUAUGGGGGGACCAUCCUCCAAGGCUAAAUACUCCUGACUGACCGAUAGUGAACCAGUACCGUGAGGGAAAGGCGAAAAGAACCCCGGCGAGGGGAGUGAAAAAGAACCUGAAACCGUGUACGUACAAGCAGUGGGAGCACCUUCGGGUGUGACUGCGUACCUUUUGUAUAAUGGGUCAGCGACUUAUAUUCUGUAGCAAGGUUAACCGUAUAGGGGAGCCGCAGGGAAACCGAGUCUUAACUGGGCGUUAAGUUGCAGGGUAUAGACCCGAAACCCGGUGAUCUAGCCAUGGGCAGGUUGAAGGUUGGGUAACACUAACUGGAGGACCGAACCGACUAAUGUUGAAAAAUUAGCGGAUGACUUGUGGCUGGGGGUGAAAGGCCAAUCAAACCGGGAGAUAGCUGGUUCUCCCCGAAAGCUAUUUAGGUAGCGCCUCGUGAACUCAUCUUCGGGGGUAGAGCACUGUUUCGGCUAGGGGGUCAUCCCGACUUACCAACCCGAUGCAAACUACGAAUACCGAAGAAUGUUAUCACGGGAGACACACGGCGGGUGCUAACGUCCGUCGUGAAGAGGGAAACAACCCAGACCGCCAGCUAAGGUCCCAAAGUCAUGGUUAAGUGGGAAACGAUGUGGGAAGGCACAGACAGCCAGGAUGUUGGCUUAGAAGCAGCCAUCAUUUAAAGAAAGCGUAAUAGCUCACUGGUCGAGUCGGCCUGCGCGGAAGAUGUAACGGGGCUAAACCAUGCACCGAAGCUGCGGCAGCGACACUAUGUGUUGUUGGGUAGGGGAGCGUUCUGUAAGCCUGCGAAGGUGUGCUGUGAGGCAUGCUGGAGGUAUCAGAAGUGCGAAUGCUGACAUAAGUAACGAUAAAGCGGGUGAAAAGCCCGCUCGCCGGAAGACCAAGGGUUCCUGUCCAACGUUAAUCGGGGCAGGGUGAGUCGACCCCUAAGGCGAGGCCGAAAGGCGUAGUCGAUGGGAAACAGGUUAAUAUUCCUGUACUUGGUGUUACUGCGAAGGGGGGACGGAGAAGGCUAUGUUAGCCGGGCGACGGUUGUCCCGGUUUAAGCAUGUAGGCUGAUUGUCCAGGCAAAUCCGGAUAAUCAAGGCUGAGGUGUGAUGACGAGGCACUACGGUGCUGAAGUAACAAAUGCCCUGCUUCCAGGAAAAGCCUCUAAGCAUCAGGUAACAUCAAAUCGUACCCCAAACCGACACAGGUGGUCAGGUAGAGAAUACCAAGGCGCUUGAGAGAACUCGGGUGAAGGAACUAGGCAAAAUGGUGCCGUAACUUCGGGAGAAGGCACGCUGGUGUGUAGGUGAAGUCCCUGCGGAUGGAGCUGAGACCAGUCGAAGAUACCAGCUGGCUGCAACUGUUUAUUAAAAACACAGCACUGUGCAAACACGAAAGUGGACGUAUACGGUGUGACGCCUGCCCGGUGCCGGAAGGUUAAUUGAUGGGGUUAUCCGUAAGGAGAAGCUCUUGAUCGAAGCCCCGGUAAACGGCGGCCGUAACUAUAACGGUCCUAAGGUAGCGAAAUUCCUUGUCGGGUAAGUUCCGACCUGCACGAAUGGCGUAAUGAUGGCCAGGCUGUCUCCACCCGAGACUCAGUGAAAUUGAACUCGCUGUGAAGAUGCAGUGUACCCGCGGCAAGACGGAAAGACCCCGUGAACCUUUACUAUAGCUUGACACUGAACAUUGAGCCUUGAUGUGUAGGAUAGGUGGGAGGCUUUGAAGCGUGGACGCCAGUCUGCGUGGAGCCAACCUUGAAAUACCACCCUUUAAUGUUUGAUGUUCUAACGUUGGCCCCUGACCGGGGUUGCGGACAGUGUCUGGUGGGUAGUUUGACUGGGGCGGUCUCCUCCCAAAGCGUAACGGAGGAGCACGAAGGUUAGCUAAUCCUGGUCGGACAUCAGGAGGUUAGUGCAAUGGCAUAAGCUAGCUUGACUGCGAGCGUGACGGCGCGAGCAGGUGCGAAAGCAGGUCAUAGUGAUCCGGUGGUUCUGAAUGGAAGGGCCAUCGCUCAACGGAUAAAAGGUACUCCGGGGAUAACAGGCUGAUACCGCCCAAGAGUUCAUAUCGACGGCGGUGUUUGGCACCUCGAUGUCGGCUCAUCACAUCCUGGGGCUGAAGUAGGUCCCAAGGGUAUGGCUGUUCGCCAUUUAAAGUGGUACGCGAGCUGGGUUUAGAACGUCGUGAGACAGUUCGGUCCCUAUCUGCCGUGGGCGCUGGAGAAUUGAGGGGGGCUGCUCCUAGUACGAGAGGACCGGAGUGGACGCAUCACUGGUGUUCGGGUUGUCAUGCCAAUGGCACUGCCCGGUAGCUAAAUGCGGAAGAGAUAAGUGCUGAAAGCAUCUAAGCACGAAACUUGCCCCGAGAUGAGUUCUCCCUGAGACUAUAAGUCUCCUGAAGGAACGUUAAAGACGAUGACGUUGAUAGGCCGGGUGUGUAAGCGCAGCGAUGCGUUGAGCUAACCGGUACUAAUGAACCGUGAGGCUUAACCU
Molecule: ribosomal RNA, 2898 nt
Filed under: Klebsiella pneumoniae Kb140
Lineage: Bacteria; Pseudomonadati; Pseudomonadota; Gammaproteobacteria; Enterobacterales; Enterobacteriaceae
Description: bacterial LSU rRNA
Rfam family: Bacterial large subunit ribosomal RNA
Source: RNAcentral